UUCACCCGGCUGUAAAAUAAAAAGGAGGUGUGGCCGCGCCGUCGAGGCUGGAGGCGCCGCGGGAGCAGCGAGGGCCGCAGGCAGGUGAGAGAAGCGACGGGCUUCCCCCACACUCCCGGGGAUUCCUCACACAGGGCCCUCCCGAAA
RNAcentral lists this long non-coding RNA (147 nucleotides) under Catharus ustulatus (Swainson's thrush). RNAcentral's name for it is "lncRNA (ENSCUSG00005001381.1)". Lineage: Eukaryota; Metazoa; Chordata; Aves; Passeriformes; Turdidae. The record is from RNAcentral.